UACGUAGGACGCGAGCGUUAUCCGGAGUAACUGGGCGUAAAGGGCGGGCAGGCGGUUUCUCAAGUCAGGCGUGAAAGCGCUCGGCUCAACUGAGCGAGGCCGCGUGAGACUGAGAGACUGGAGGGCAGCAGAGGCGCGUGGAAGUCCGGGUGGAGUGGUGAAAUGCGUAGAGAUCCGGACGAACACCAGAGGCGAAGGCGGCGCGCUGGGCUGCGACUGACGCUGAGCCGCGAGAGCCAGGGGAGCGAACGGG
Molecule: ribosomal RNA, 253 nt
Filed under: uncultured bacterium
Lineage: Bacteria
Description: partial 16S ribosomal RNA
Rfam family: Bacterial small subunit ribosomal RNA
Source: RNAcentral